UGGGGAAUAUUGCACAAUGGGCGCAAGCCUGAUGCAGCCAUGCCGCGUGUAUGAAGAAGGCCUUCGGGUUGUAAAGUACUUUCAGCGGGGAGGAAGUGAGUAAAGUUAAUACCUUUGCUCAUUGACGUUACCCGCAGAAGAAGCACCGGCUAACUCCGUGCCAGCAGCCGCGGUAAUACGGAGGGUGCAAGCGUUAAUCGGAAUUACUGGGCGUAAAGCGCACGCAGGCGGUUUGUUAAGUCAGAUGUGAAAUCCACGGGCUCAACCUGGGAACUGCAUCUGAUACUGGCAAGCUUGAGUCUCGUAGAGGGGGGUAGAAUUCCAGGUGUAGCGGUGAAAUGCGUAGAGAUCUGGAGGAAUACCGGUGGCGAAGGCGGCCCCCUGGACAAAGACUGACGCUCAGGUGCGAAAGCGUGGGGAGCAAACAGG
RNAcentral lists this ribosomal RNA (429 nucleotides) under Chloroflexota bacterium. Its description in RNAcentral is "Chloroflexi bacterium partial 16S ribosomal RNA". It matches the Rfam family "Bacterial small subunit ribosomal RNA", at positions 355 to 776 of the family's 1533-position model. Lineage: Bacteria; Bacillati; Chloroflexota. The record is from RNAcentral.